UGGUGUGUGUGUGUCAAGGUGUGUAUAUCUGUGUGUCAAUGUGUAUCUGUGUGUGUGUGUGUGUAUGUAUCUGACACACAGGCACAUAGUGGCACACAGAUACACAUACCUUAAAACACAGAUACAAA
This is a non-coding RNA of Pelobates cultripes (western spadefoot toad), 128 nucleotides long. The record is from the annotation of a GenBank genome assembly. Lineage: Eukaryota; Metazoa; Chordata; Amphibia; Anura; Pelobatidae.